RNAcentral lists this small RNA (419 nucleotides) under Oryza sativa Japonica Group (Japanese rice). RNAcentral describes it as "sRNA Os04g0683875". The record is from RNAcentral. Lineage: Eukaryota; Viridiplantae; Streptophyta; Magnoliopsida; Poales; Poaceae.
CUCAAUGCUCAAUGGGGAGCUGGUUGGUGCAUAACGGUUCACCACAUGACCCUCUUUGUCAACCAGAAAUUUGGUGAAGUUCCAUUUGAUGCGUUCUCCGAAGAGGCCACCUCUCUCUGACUUCAAGAACUUGUACAGUGGAGCAGCAUUGCCGCCAUUCACAUCAACCUGAUAGGAUACUCUGCUUUGAAGCGGGUACAAGCAAACUCCACAACCUGCUCAUUGCUGCCUGGCUCGUGUAGUUGUAAUUCGUCAGACCACUGCAGAGAUAUCAUCAGAUCAGGUGGGAAAGUACAAACUCUCAUUAGACAAUUUCGAAUGAAAAUGUAAAGACCAAUACCAUCGAGAUGCAGCAUUCACAAUAAGAACAACUUUUCCCUUGUAUCUGCUGAGUUCCACAUCACUCCCCCUCGCAUCCU